RNAcentral lists this long non-coding RNA (370 nucleotides) under Mytilus galloprovincialis (Mediterranean mussel). The record is from RNAcentral. Lineage: Eukaryota; Metazoa; Mollusca; Bivalvia; Mytilida; Mytilidae.
CAAUUGGGUACCAGCAUGCACCUGUUAAACCUCUUUUUAGAUUUGUUUGGGGAGGGUAUCUUUAUUGGUACAUUUCUAUAUGAUAUAUUUAACAAUGGACAAACUAUCAACAAAAACUGAACCAAAGAGAAGAUAUCCAACGCAGCCACUAAGCAAUACAAUAAGUCUCCAACUUAGCAAGAAAACCCGUACCAGGAGAUCAAAUCUAGAUCCUAAAUAUUUAUUUUUUUAUUUUACUAAAUUUCAUUUGAUUCAACUCUGUCUGCACUUUCUGAAAUAUAAAUAUUAUAAAUUUGCAAGAAAAAAUAGAGAAUGUGAUCAACACGCAAGAUGAAGAUGCAUUCCCCAAGUUAGAUAAAGAUGAUAUUAA